GCGCUAUUGGUGUAGUGGUUAGCAUUUACGCUUCCCAAGCGUGAGACCCGAGUUCGAAUCCCGGAUGGCGCA
Molecule: transfer RNA, 72 nt
Organism: Blastocystis sp.
Lineage: Eukaryota; Bigyra; Opalinata; Blastocystidae
Rfam family: tRNA
About the family: Transfer RNA (tRNA) molecules are approximately 80 nucleotides in length. Their secondary structure includes four short double-helical elements and three loops (D, anti-codon, and T loops).
Source: Rfam